AUGGAGGCGUCGGCGUACAAGUUCGGGCCCUACAGGAUCGACGCGAGGGAGGUCUUCCAUGCCACGCCCCUCUCCUACGCCAUGGUCAACCUACGCCCCCUCCUCCCUGGUCAUGUCCUUGUGUGCCCCAAGCGUGAAGUGAAACGCUUUACUGAUCUAAGCACUGAUGAGACAAGCGAUUUAUGGGUGACUGCAAAGGAAGUUGGUGUACGGCUUGAGCAGUACCACAAAGCUUCUUCGCUUACAUUUGCAAUUCAGGAUGGUCCUCAAGCUGGCCAAACAGUUCCGCAUGUCCACAUCCAUGUGAUCCCCAGGAAGAAGGGAGAUUUUGAAAAUAAUGAUGAAAUAUAUGACGCGAUUGAUGUGAAAGAAAAGGAAUUGAAGGAAAAACUUGAUCUGGAUGUUGAAAGAAAAGAUAGAACCAUGGAAGAAAUGAGUCAUGAGGCUAACGAGUACCGUGCUCUUUUCUCCUAG
RNAcentral lists this ribosomal RNA (474 nucleotides) under Triticum aestivum (bread wheat). RNAcentral describes it as "partial small subunit ribosomal RNA". The record is from RNAcentral. Lineage: Eukaryota; Viridiplantae; Streptophyta; Magnoliopsida; Poales; Poaceae.